CUAAACUGCAUGAUCUUUGGCAGGGAUGCAUCGGCAGCCCUUUCGGCACUGUAGAGCUGCAUAAAAGAGCUUUUACAGAAACAGAGUGGAAAGGAGCAGAAUUUGAAUUUUCUUUCAGAUCCUGAAUGGUACAGCACACUGCUUUGAGCACUGUGAAGGUGGGCAAGCGCUAAAGUGAUUCGGUUUGCUGGUACCUCUGUGCUGGAGACCCUCCUCAGGGUGCCUACUGCUUGCUUGCUUUCCAAUGAGAGGCACGAGCAGAAACUGCUGUGGUUCUCAUCUGUGCUGUGGUUAAGGGCAUUACUUUUAAAUCUUUAUCAAAAUAAUAGCCCUUCACUGCAACAUCUACCUCCCAAGGAGUACUCCAGUCUCCCCUGGAAGUCAUAAUUUGAUCACUGCCCCAGGAGAGGUGGUGACCUAGGUGAACCGUUUGUACUAACUCGUAUUGCAGUUCUGGGAGCAAUCCCUGCAAGUAACCAGCUUUACCAAGGGUUUUGCCAUAACGCUAAGCAGCUUGUAAAUGGGAGAGUAUUUAUGAGAAUCCUUGCUGACAUUUGUGUAGUAGCAGCAAGAUGGGCGAUCUGUAACCGUUGGAGACGCUAUUGCUGGUGUGGCUAAAUAGCUAAAUACAAUUGUGAUGAGC
Molecule: long non-coding RNA, 643 nt
Organism: Aquila chrysaetos chrysaetos
Lineage: Eukaryota; Metazoa; Chordata; Aves; Accipitriformes; Accipitridae
Exons: 3
Source: RefSeq, a predicted model, not a curated record